AUGUGUGAUGCUAGUGAUUAUGUUGUAGGUGUUGUUCUAGGACAAAGAGUUGAUAAGAAAUUAAAUGUUAUCCAAUAUGCUAGUGAAACUCUAGACAGUGCCCAGAGAAAUUAUGCUACCAUUGAAAAAGAAUUUUUAGCAGUUGUAUUUGCUUAUGGUAAGUUCAGACCUUAUAUUUUUGAUUCCAAAGUAAUUGUUCACACUGAUCAUGCUGCUAUUAAAUACAUUAUGGAAAAUAAAGAUGCUAAACCUAGACUUAUUAGAUGGGUUCUCUUGCUACAAGAAUUUGAUUUGCAUAUUAUUGAUAGAAAGGGAGAUGAGAACCCUGUUGCAGACAACUUGUCUAGUUUAGAAAAUGCUCUUGAUGACCCACUACCUAUUGAUGAUAGCUUUCCUGAUGAACAAUUGGCUUUCAUAAAUGCUUCUCAUACUACUCCAUGGUAUGCUGAUUAUGCUAAUUACAUUGUUGCUAAAUUUAUACCACCUAGUUUCACAUACCAGCAAAACAAAAAAAUCUAUGAUUUAAGACAUUACUUUUGGGAUGACCCACACCUUUAUAAAGGAGUAGAUGGUGUUAUUAGAUGUUGUGUACCUAAGCAUGAACAGGAACAGAUCCUACGCAAGUGUCACUCCGAGGCAUAUGGAGGCACCACGCUCGAGAUAGAACUGCACAUAAGGUAUUGCAAUCCGGUUUUUAUUGGCCUACUCUUUUAA
This 714-nucleotide ribosomal RNA is filed under the name Triticum aestivum (bread wheat). Its description in RNAcentral is "partial small subunit ribosomal RNA". The record is from RNAcentral. Lineage: Eukaryota; Viridiplantae; Streptophyta; Magnoliopsida; Poales; Poaceae.